CAGCAGCCGCGGUAAUACGGAGGGAGCUAGCGUUGUUCGGAAUUACUGGGCGUAAAGCGCACGUAGGCGGCUUUGUAAGUCAGAGGUGAAAGCCUGGAGCUCAACUCCAGAACUGCCUUUGAGACUGCAUCGCUUGAAUCCAGGAGAGGUGAGUGGAAUUCCGAGUGUAGAGGUGAAAUUCGUAGAUAUUCGGAAGAACACCAGUGGCGAAGGCGGCUCACUGGACUGGUAUUGACGCUGAGGUGCGAAAGCGUGGGGAGCAGACAGGAUUAGAUACCCCAGUAGUCCCUGUCUCUUAUAC
Molecule: ribosomal RNA, 301 nt
Filed under: uncultured bacterium
Lineage: Bacteria
Description: partial 16S ribosomal RNA
Rfam family: Bacterial small subunit ribosomal RNA
Source: RNAcentral